This 435-nucleotide ribosomal RNA is filed under the name Capnocytophaga gingivalis. RNAcentral's name for it is "bacterial SSU rRNA". It matches the Rfam family "Bacterial small subunit ribosomal RNA", at positions 28 to 465 of the family's 1533-position model. Lineage: Bacteria; Pseudomonadati; Bacteroidota; Flavobacteriia; Flavobacteriales; Flavobacteriaceae. The record is from RNAcentral.
GAUGAACGCUAGCGGCAGGCCUAACACAUGCAAGUCGAGGGAGAAGCCCUUUCGGGGGCAGAAACCGGCGCACGGGUGCGUAACGCGUAUGCAACCUACCUUUCACAGGGGGAUAGCCCGAAGAAAUUUGGAUUAAUACCCCAUAAUAUUAUUGGAUGGCAUCAUUUGAUAAUUAAAACUGCGGUGGUGAAAGAUGGGCAUGCGUCCUAUUAGCUAGUUGGAGUGGUAACGGCACCCCAAGGCUACGAUAGGUAGGGGUCCUGAGAGGGAGAUCCCCCACACUGGUACUGAGACAGGGACCAGACUCCUACGGGAGGCAGCAGCGAGGAAUAUUGGUCAAUGGUCGGAAGACUGAACCAGCCAUGCCGCGUGCAGGAAGAAUGCCUUAUGGGUUGUAAACUGCUUUUAUAUGGGAAGAAUAAGGCGUACGUGUAC